Non-coding RNA from Nelumbo nucifera (sacred lotus), 2167 nucleotides. The record is from RefSeq and is a predicted model, not a curated record. Lineage: Eukaryota; Viridiplantae; Streptophyta; Magnoliopsida; Proteales; Nelumbonaceae.
AACAAUGGAGAGAGAGGCUAUCAUGCUCAUUAGUCCUAGUCCUGGGCAAGGCCAAGGAAGAAAGUAUGCAUUGUUAUCAACUUUAAACGGUUUACUAUCUUCAUCCAUGGCCGAGAAGUUUCACGGUAAAGAGCCAAAACGUGAUAAAGAAUCAUCCACACUGCCACAAAUAUGACUGUUUUCACUAUAACUUCUGCAUUUUGCAAAAUAGUAGAAACCCGCUCAACUCCAUUGUCCGCCCUAGAGUGAUGCCACUUCACCAAUUGCAUCGAAGAAGAGAAAGAAGAAAACAAAGAAAGAGAAAAGAAAUAAAAAAUGAAAGAAGAGAUGAGGGAGAGGGAAAGAUAAAAACCUUGCACAUGGCGAGAGGGAACCCUCACACACAGGCGAGAGAUUUUUAACUGGACAAUAUCACUUCUAAUUCACCGGGGCAAUAUCAUAUAUUCCUACAGAGAAAAACUUGUCUUUAACAUGGGAGAAUAACGAGGCAUGCAAUUUUAAUCUCUAACAGAGGAGAACUCGAUUGCAGAAUUAUGAAAACUUCCAAGAAAUUGGGGAUUCGAAGUUUCGAACUGUAUUAGUUUAAAUUGAUGUAAAUAAAGGCAGCGUUCAUGCCAAAUCUGCAGAUGAAGCUGUUCGAAUUGGGCCUUCUCCGGCUCGGCGGUUGAGCUUCCUGAUUGCUCCGGCGAUCACUCGAGAUGCAAUUCAUACAGGUAUACAGGAUUCAAGGGAGUGGAAAUGGCAUAGUUCUGGUGUCUUUUCAGUUAAGUCCUUGUACAGAAGUCUGGUCAAAGGUGGAACUGGUGAUUUCCUUCACAAGGAAAUCUGGGGUAUAUUGGUUCCCUCAAAGGUGAAAUUCUUCAUCUGGCUGGUGGCACUGGAUAAGUGCCUCACCAAGAUUAAUAUGCUAAGGGGUAUAGCAGUUGACAGGUUCCUUAUGUCUUUUAUGUGAAAAGGAGCAAGAAUCAGGUGGGCAAGGCAAUAUGUGGUAAGGUAAGAUGCCACCCUUUUUCUGUUCUGAGACUUGUUGACGGGUUGGCAUGUGAAGGAUAUGAACAAGGUGGGCAAGGCAAUAUGUGGUACCAGCAGCUGCUAUAUGGACCACUUGUCUUGAGAGAAAUGUGUGGAUUUUUCCGUUUUUGAACAGAAAAAGAAACAAGCAGAAGCUACAAUCAAUCUCUUUUGGCUUAAUCAGGGACUGGCGUUUGGUUAGCAGAAGCGGAUAUUGCCAGUGCUGAAGAGAGGGCUCGGCGCAUGAGGGCCGCGAUAGAGAGGAGAGCUCAGGCGGCUAGGGCUUUGGGUGCACAGCCUAAGGCAGCAACUACAACAAAGGCACUCUAUAGAGUGCACGCCUCGGCAGGGGAAGAGGUUGAGGCCCGUAGAGGAGGUUGUCGUGGUCGAUUUUGAGGAGACCACAACUUAGUUUGGGUGAUAAGCAUCGCUGAGGGGGGACACUCCGUAGAGUGCGUGCCACGGCAAAGGGCUCGGUUGACGUAUACUUGUUGCAAUUCUGUCCGACCAUAGCACACCCUUGAGUCAAAAGGGGUGGCCAAGCAACUUGCCCAGGGUUUGAUGCUCCCUAGCAUUAGGUAAGAGGUGAACAAUCACACUAGCAGCUUCUUGGAGAGUGCGGCCCUUCAUCAAGCUAUGGCGUUUGUCUACUGAGUUGUCAGCCUCGUCGACCGCCUUUGCGCACUUUGACGUCUUUAUGAGUCGUGGGAGGUCAAGAACGUUCAACUGAAGAUGGAGUUGGUCGAGCUGAGGCGUGACGUUGAGGAGUGGGAUGACAAAGUCCACAAGCUAAAGGGUUGCGUCCAUGAUCUAAAGGAGGCGCGGGACGCACUGAGGAAGGAGUUUGGAGACAUUGAGGCGAAGAUUGCUUGGGCGAAGAAAGAGGGUGUAUCUGAGUACAAGGAUUUGGAGGCCCACUAGAACGAGUUGGGUGACUACACAACUGACUCUUGGCAGGAGGAGUUCGCUCUUUGCCAGUGAAGUGUUGUGCACCACUUCCUAGAGGCGGCUGGGGUUAUUCAAGGGUUCGGUCCAUUCGAUGUCACCAUACCUGAAGGGGAUGACACCAUUGCCGAUCUCCAAGAGCGAGCUGAGGAGCCCCCAGCUGAUGAUUGAAGUGCUUCCCCCUUUUUUUUUGUUGUAUGCAGCUCGGUAU